GAACGGGUGAGUAACACGUGAGUAACCUGCCUUACACAAGGGGAUAGCCUUUGGAAACGAAGAAUAAUACCCUAUAAAGUCAAAAUAUCGCAUGAUAUAGUGACCAAAGAUUUAUCGGUGUAAGAUGGACUUGCGUCUGAUUAGCUAGUUGGUGAGAUAAAAGCCCACCAAGGCGACGAUCAGUAGCCGGCUUGAGAGAGUGUACGGCCACAUUGGGACUGAGACACGGCCCAAACUCCUACGGGAGGCAGCAGUGGGGAAUUUUGCACAAUGGGGGAAACCCUGAUGCAGCGACGCCGCGUGAUUUAGAAGGCCUUCGGGUUGUAAAAAUCUUUUUUAUGGGAUGAAAAUGACAGUACC
This 360-nucleotide ribosomal RNA is filed under the name uncultured bacterium. RNAcentral describes it as "bacterial SSU rRNA". It matches the Rfam family "Bacterial small subunit ribosomal RNA", at positions 100 to 479 of the family's 1533-position model. The record is from RNAcentral.